AGACCCGAAACCCGGUGAUCUAGCCAUGGGCAGGUUGAAGGUUGGGUAACACUAACUGGAGGACCGAACCGACUAAUGUUGAAAAAUUAGCGGAUGACCUGUGGCUGGGGGUGAAAGGCCAAUCAAACCGGGAGAUAGCUGGUUCUCCCCGAAAGCUAUUUAGGUAGCGCCUCGUGAAUUCAUCUCCGGGGGUAGAGCACUGUUUCGGCUAGGGGGCCAUCCCGGCUUACCAACCCGAUGCAAACUGCGAAUACCGGAGAAUGUUAUCACGGGAGACACACGGCGGGUGCUAACGUCCGUCGUGAAGAGGGAAACAACCCAGACCGCCAGCUAAGGUCCCAAAGUCAUGGUUAAGUGGGAAACGAUGUGGGAAGGCCCAGACAGCCAGGAUGUUGGCUUAGAAGCAGCCAUCAUUUAAAGAAAGCGUAAUAGCUCACUGGUCGAGUCGGCCUGCGCGGAAGAUGUAACGGGGCUAAACCAUGCACCGAAGCUGCGGCAGCGACGCUGAUGCGUUGUUGGGUAGGGGAGCGUUCUGUAAGCCUGCGAAGGUGGCCUGUGAGGGUUGCUGGAGGUAUCAGAAGUGCGAAUGCUGACAUAAGUAACGAUAAAGCGGGUGAAAAGCCCGCUCGCCGGAAGACCAAGGGUUCCUGUCCAACGUUAAUCGGGGCAGGGUGAGUCGACCCCUAAGGCGAGGCCGAAAGGCGUAGUCGAUGGGAAACGGGUUAAUAUUCCCGUACUUGGUGUUACUGCGAAGGGGGGACGGAGAAGGCUAUGUUGGCCGGGCGACGGUUGUCCCGGUUUAAGCGUGUAGGUGUGUGUUCCAGGUAAAUCCGGUUCACUUUAACACUGAGGCGUGAUGACGAGGCACUACGGUGCUGAAGCAACAAAUGCCCUGCUUCCAGGAAAAGCCUCUAAGCAUCAGGUAACAUCAAAUCGUACCCCAAACCGACACAGGUGGUCAGGUAGAGAAUACCAAGGCGCUUGAGAGAACUCGGGUGAAGGAACUAGGCAAAAUGGUGCCGUAACUUCGGGAGAAGGCACGCUGACACGUAGGUGAAGUGAUUUACUCAUGGAGCUGAAGUCAGUCGAAGAUACCAGCUGGCUGCAACUGUUUAUUAAAAACACAGCACUGUGCAAACACGAAAGUGGACGUAUACGGUGUGACGCCUGCCCGGUGCCGGAAGGUUAAUUGAUGGGGUCAGCGCAAGCGAAGCUCCUGAUCGAAGCCCCGGUAAACGGCGGCCGUAACUAUAACGGUCCUAAGGUAGCGAAAUUCCUUGUCGGGUAAGUUCCGACCUGCACGAAUGGCGUAAUGAUGGCCAGGCUGUCUCCACCCGAGACUCAGUGAAAUUGAACUCGCUGUGAAGAUGCAGUGUACCCGCGGCAAGACGGAAAGACCCCGUGAACCUUUACUAUAGCUUGACACUGAACAUUGAGCCUUGAUGUGUAGGAUAGGUGGGAGGCUUUGAAGUGUGGACGCCAGUCUGCAUGGAGCCGACCUUGAAAUACCACCCUUUAAUGUUUGAUGUUCUAACGUGGACCCGUGAUCCGGGUUGCGGACAGUGUCUGGUGGGUAGUUUGACUGGGGCGGUCUCCUCCUAAAGAGUAACGGAGGAGCACGAAGGUUGGCUAAUCCUGGUCGGACAUCAGGAGGUUAGUGCAAUGGCAUAAGCCAGCUUGACUGCGAGCGUGACGGCGCGAGCAGGUGCGAAAGCAGGUCAUAGUGAUCCGGUGGUUCUGAAUGGAAGGGCCAUCGCUCAACGGAUAAAAGGUACUCCGGGGAUAACAGGCUGAUACCGCCCAAGAGUUCAUAUCGACGGCGGUGUUUGGCACCUCGAUGUCGGCUCAUCACAUCCUGGGGCUGAAGUAGGUCCCAAGGGUAUGGCUGUUCGCCAUUUAAAGUGGUACGCGAGCUGGGUUUAGAACGUCGUGAGACAGUUCGGUCCCUAUCUGCCGUGGGCGCUGGAGAACUGAGGGGGGCUGCUCCUAGUACGAGAGGACCGGAGUGGACGCAUCACUGGUGUUCGGGUUGUCAUGCCAAUGGCACUGCCCGGUAGCUAAAUGCGGAAGAGAUAAGUGCUGAAAGCAUCUAAGCACGAAACUUGCCCCGAGAUGAGUUCUCCCUGAGACUUUAGGUCUCCUGAAGGAACGUUGAAGACGACGACGUUGAUAGGCCGGGUGUGUAAGCGCAGCGAUGCGUUGAGCUAACCGGUACUAAUGAACCGUGAGGCUUAACCUUACA
This 2242-nucleotide ribosomal RNA is filed under the name Salmonella enterica. RNAcentral's name for it is "partial 23S ribosomal RNA". It matches the Rfam family "Bacterial large subunit ribosomal RNA", at positions 711 to 2925 of the family's 2925-position model. The record is from RNAcentral. RNAcentral also lists the same sequence under 4 other names. Lineage: Bacteria; Pseudomonadati; Pseudomonadota; Gammaproteobacteria; Enterobacterales; Enterobacteriaceae.